RNAcentral lists this long non-coding RNA (1226 nucleotides) under Fragaria vesca (wild strawberry). RNAcentral's name for it is "long non-coding RNA (FVES_LNC003286)". Lineage: Eukaryota; Viridiplantae; Streptophyta; Magnoliopsida; Rosales; Rosaceae. The record is from RNAcentral.
AGGGUGGAAAUAACUGAUGGAAUGUACAACAACUUAUCAACAAGAGUAAAUCUACAAAGCAAAAACUAUAUGAAUACGAAGAAGAACAGCAACAAGGCAAACUGCUCCCUGAAGUGAUGUUAAAACUAUAUCUUUGCACCUAGACAUGUAGCAAGAAACAAUUUAGAUGAUCAAGGAACAGGUAAAAAAGAGAUAUAGUCUUGUUAUCCUAGCUAGAGGAAUCAGUCGAAUCACAAGUUAAGAAAUCAAAUGGUAAAAUGCAAGAUUAAGAGAUAUUGAACAGGAUAAUACCCAAUAACUUUAUCUAGCAAUCACUAAACUGUUGUCAUAGCAUUAGAAUACAUGCACCCAAAUGGAAGCUACCAGGGAACAAUGACAGAAGAACCCCCUUACAAACAUGACAUCGCAAAUUCAACAAUCUAAGAGAAAAAUCCAGACAUACAGAAGUCCUCGAGUCGUUGGGAGUCGUGAAAUUUUAGCACUGCUGCUAUCGGCAAACUUUGCAGAAUUGGGCAGUGAGGAAGCGGAAUCGGGCGGUGAGGUUAACGGAGGUGAGGGGGAAGCGGGCGCCGAGGUGAGGAGGAAUCGGGAGGUGAGGUUAGCAGAGGCGGUGGAGGAGUUCAAGGAGAACUUCGGCAGAGUGGGAUUGAGGUUUGGCUGGAUUGGGAUUUGGGGUUCAUACUACUUCAGUGCUUCGCGUUUUGGGAUGAAAGAGAGAGGAACUGAAAAUGAGAUGAGAUGAGAUGAAUUAGUAUUAGGGUUAAAAAUGAAAGGUUAAGAUCAAAACAUCUAAAAAAAUCAAUGGCUCAGAUUAGUCUAUGGGGGGUGUAUUGUAUUUAGAUUCAUACAGACUUAUUUUAAUCAACUGACUUUUUGAAAAGUCUACAGACUCUUUGAAAAGUUCAUAGACUUUCACUGAUUUCUUAAAACCAUCGAUUUUUAAUUACAGACUUUCACUGAUUUCUGAAAUCUACAGAUUUCAUAUGAAUGACUUAUGUAGAUUUCUCAAUACUUACAGAGUUACAUGAAAGAAAAAAUAAAAAAUAAAAAAUAAAGAUGCAAUGACAAACACAUAAUGACACCGAUUAUAAGUUUAGGGUUCAUCUAUCUAAUUUCGAUGCAUACAGUUGUAAUAUUUGAUUGAAAUACAUAAACAUAAGUAACAAAAAAGAUUAUAUUAACUUAACAACACGCAUACUUGUACGUAAACCAAAGACAUAUGUUUU